Molecule: long non-coding RNA, 98 nt
Organism: Sapajus apella (tufted capuchin)
Lineage: Eukaryota; Metazoa; Chordata; Mammalia; Primates; Cebidae
Exons: 3
Source: RefSeq, a predicted model, not a curated record
AAAAUGUGGAUGUGAUUUUGGAGCUGGGUAACAGGGAGAGUUUGGAACAGUUUCGAGGGCUCAGAAGGAGACAGAAAAAUGAAUGAAAGUUUUGAAAG